Molecule: ribosomal RNA, 409 nt
Filed under: uncultured bacterium
Lineage: Bacteria
Description: bacterial SSU rRNA
Rfam family: Bacterial small subunit ribosomal RNA
Source: RNAcentral
GGGGAAUAUUGCACAAUGGGCGCAAGCCUGAUGCAGCGACGCCGCGUGGGGGAUGACGGCCUUCGGGUUGUAAACCUCUUUCGCUGGGGAAGAAGCCUUUCGGGGUGACGGUACCUGGAAAAGAAGCACCGGCUAACUACGUGCCAGCAGCCGCGGUAAUACGUAGGGUGCGAGCGUUGUCCGGAAUUAUUGGGCGUAAAGAGCUUGUAGGCGGUUUGUCGCGUCUGCGGUGAAAACUCGGGGCUUAACCUCGGGCGUGCCGUGGGUACGGGCAGGCUAGAGUGUGGUAGGGGAGACUGGAAUUCCUGGUGUAGCGGUGAAAUGCGCAGAUAUCAGGAGGAACACCGAUGGCGAAGGCAGGUCUCUGGGCCACUACUGACGCUGAGAAGCGAAAGCAUGGGGAGCGAAC